GCUGCGGCCACAAUGGUCCGUUAGCGUCGACUUCACCGUCAGCUUUAACUGACAGCUAAGUUUAAAGUAAUGAUAUUCAAUGCAGCACCCCACAAUGAUGCGUUGCGUCUAACGCACGCAUGUACUAAAAACGCUGACGCUGUGCUAAACUUUGAAAAUCUUCAAAGUUGACGCAGCAGCCAACGCGUGACGGAAGAUUCAAAACAAAAAAAAUGGCAAAACUUCGGAUUCCGCUAGAAAUGCAGUCAACAUCACACAAAAGUUCAACUCCGAGGAAAAAUUGAUCACAACUUGAUGUAGGUAAACAAGACUACGAUGAGAAUGACGCAAUUCAACAAUAAUAACAACGUACGACGCAACGCAGUAUUGUGCGCAUGUGUUGCAUUAACGCAUCCGUCAACGUUUUUAGUACAUUGACGGAUGCGUUAACGCUGAAGUCGAAGUCGAAGUUGACGGACCAUGGUCUUAUCCACUGGUGUACUAAACUAACUCGGUCGUAGAAUUUUGACACUACACUCAGAAAUAAUAGAAAUCAUAAGCGGUUUAAAACUCAUACAUUUUUGUCAUACUUAAAGAAUACACUAGGCUCAGUUUAAGUGGUAUACAUUUUUGGUAUAAUAAACUAAACUAAGCUGGACUUCCACAAAACUAUUUUUAUCAGUGUAUUUUAGCGACCGCAGAUGUUCACAAAAACAAAAAUGUCGGUGAAGACGGCUUGACUCGCGAAAUUCGUUUCAUUAAUUUGUCUACUAUUCGAUUAACUAUCAUUAGAAAAUUCUCAAAAGUGGACUGCUUUUCAUUAGAAAUUGCGAAUCAAUCGAAUGGCGAAUGGCUAGGAACUGUUUAGUAGAAAAGCUCGAAAACACCGAGUGUCUGCACGUGCAAAACGGAAACAGCGUCAUGAAGUACUACUUCAAUGCAGAAAACACGGUCCAGAAAGCAGAAACAUGAGAAGAAUCCAUCAUUUCGGAUCUGGAUGCUAUUGAAUAUUUGCAGGAUAAUUAAAUACGAGCGGCUCGGAAGUUUUGUGAACGGCAGACUACGCAGAAUCAAAAUUUUAGUUAUCUGAAAUAAGGCAUGGGUCUUAAUGUUAAGUGCAAACUACUGAUUUCAUUUCCAUGUGUUUUAAAGAUAAUAAAAUAAAAACGGGGAGUUUGAUUUUUUUCAA
Aedes aegypti (yellow fever mosquito) is the source of this 1168-nucleotide long non-coding RNA. RefSeq lists it as uncharacterized. The transcript has 2 exons. NCBI's taxonomy places the organism in Eukaryota, Metazoa, Arthropoda, Insecta, Diptera, Culicidae. The record is from RefSeq and is a predicted model, not a curated record.